Molecule: long non-coding RNA, 4834 nt
Organism: Lineus longissimus
Lineage: Eukaryota; Metazoa; Nemertea; Pilidiophora; Heteronemertea; Lineidae
Exons: 4
Source: RefSeq, a predicted model, not a curated record
UUACGCGACGGAUGUUAGGGCACUAACAUUGGAAUGGCCGAGACGGGGUCAGUCGUCCUCCGCGAGAGGGCGUACUUUACAAAUUAACGACGAUUUCCCUUGCGUUUGGACACUGUCUUGUCGCUGCUUUUCGUGCUUUUGCCGCGGUUAUACUAGCAUGAGUAAUUUGUGCCAUUUCAUUUUAUUUGUUCCGAAAUAAUAGCGUUGGGAUUGCUGUUCGCCAUCAUGUAAUCGGUAAAUAUUAUUGCUUUACGGUCUGGAUGAUUUAGGGAAAAGUAUAGUAGAAGACGAACAAGUUUUUUUCGUUGAUUCUGUGGGAAAAAGACGCUUACCCGUAGCUGUAGGCGUAGGCCUACCGGUACCACUGGUGUGUGCCGCUUACAUCAUCAUUCAUGCAAUCAAUGCAUGGCGUGUGUGUCAUUAAAUUGUGUGCAGACUUAAGACUACAGCAUAGGCGUUCAGGCUACAGGCUACAUCAUGUCUGUGUUAGCCUAGUGUCACUCUCAGCUCAGUCUAAAUCUGUGGCUGUUAAAAAAAUGGGUGUGCGUUAAUCAUGAUAUUGUAUUACCAACACAUCGUGGAGUAUAUACUCUAUAUAUCGGUACUAGGCCUAGGUCUAUAUCACCACUUAGGGAAUAGACGAAUUCGAAGAAGACGAAAUCGGUGCCAAAACAAAUCGAAUGCGCACACUCAGAAUACGUCAGAAGGCCUAGUAUUAAGCCGACUUCGGACAAUUGAUGCCUAGAGAGACACGGCGAUCCUUUGUUCAAGGGUCAGUGCAAACUUCUUCGAAUUCGUCCAUCAACGUAAUGACGUAACUCGUGAGAUAACGAGGAGUAGUGGUGAAACAAUAUUGCGCAAUGUUAUUUUGGUAGAAGGUUGUGGCAGUGAAGGGACUGUGUGCAUGCACUUGAGGGAGUGUGUUCAUCCAGAUAGGCCUGUUUUUGAAGAAGAGGAAUCGGUUAUCACCAAAACAAACUUCUUCGAAUUCGUCUUUUUAUAGGCCCUUUGCAGCAUUGCCAGGUACGCGGGCACCACCUAGGUUCGCCAAAACAAACCAUGUUUACAAUAGAUCUUCACAGAAAAGGAUGCACAUUGGCUCGAGACCACGAUUCGAAAGUUGGUCAGCGGGUAGCACAUGUGUGCACAGUAUGAUGCACUGUCAAGAUGUUUUACAAAAUACAAUUUUUUUAAGGAUAUUUGAUUGACGGGACGCAAUAGCAUCGGCCAGCAUCACCAUGACGGCAUGAAAGAGGCUCGGCAUCUCCAACACAUAUCGUUUAAGUUUCAAAUCAAUUGCAAAACAAAUUCUACCACUUACAUGUAUUUCUUUUUGUUUUGUAGAUUAUGAUUGCAUUGGGUUACCAAAUCUUGGUAACUCAUGUUUUUUAAAUGUGGCGUUGCAGGCCCUCCGUGCCACCCUGGGGUUUUUAAUGCCACUCGUGCCCACACUCAGUGUUUUGAAGAAUGUAAAAUCCCGUGUGUGAUAAACAUGUGUAAAGAAACCUUUCGCAAGAAGCCAGAAGAGCUUUACAACAAUCUUGGACUGGGAGAUGGAGGCCAUCAUAAACUUCUUGUGGGAUGAGUUGCCGCAGACAGAGAUGAAAACCAUGAUGAAUGUCUGUGUGCCAGAGGCUAUGAUUUGUUUAGUACAACAAUGGGAGGGACUUAACAAAAUUGAGGCGGGAAUGUUCUUGAGGCAGUGUCGGUGCAUGGAAAAAACGGAAACCUUGGAUUAAGGAUUUAUUUCAUAGUGAAUUACACAAUCACAAAUGGAUUACACACGUUCUGGAUUAGACUAGUUCCUGCUGCAACUGACAUUUUUGCAGGUGCCCAACCGUAGGCGACUUCUUGAUGUCUUCCUUGGAUAUUACAUGAUAUUAUGUCAUUUUCGCCAACAUCGUGUUUUGGCGCCAAGACGUUUGUUCCUAGAACGAUUGAUUUAAAUGCCGAAUGUGGUCAGUUUUAAUUUAUAUCGCUGGUGUCUACCCAAACAAUUUUAGAUGCUUUCUGCUGAAUCUUCUACUACUACUGUUUUUACUGGGGUUUCGAUGUUUUUUGGUGGAGUGUGACUCUAAAGAAAUAGGCAGCUUUUUAUGCCCCCGCCAAUGCGUAAAGCAUUGCGGAGGCAUUAGGUUUUACCGAUGUCUGUCAGCCGGUAGGCGUCAGGCGUCUGUAAACUUUUUUUUCUCGCUCAUUUUAAGGAGAACGCUUUUAGCGAUAACCACGAAACCAUUUUUGUGGGUUGACCUUUACUAAAGGAAGGUUCCUUUCGAAAACAGGCUCGUCCCGAUUGUCAAUAUAUGGCCACCAGGGCGGCGUGCUUGAAAUCGGUUUCCGUCAAUUGCGAGGAGAACCAUUUUUGUGAUUAAAUUCAUUUUUAUGCCCCCGACAAUUCGUAAUGCAUUGCGGAGGCAUUAUGUGUUACCGAUGUCCAUGCGUCCGUCCGUCUGUGCAUCUAUUAGCCGUCUGUAAACUUUUCGUUUCCGCUCAUUUUAACAAGAACGCUUUGAGUAAUAACCAUGUAACUUUUUAUAUGGGUAGAAAAAGAUAACGUGUACAGCGGGCAUUUACAGACCAAUAACUCUUUCACGAUGUCAACUAAACCCAGUCAGCUACGACACCAGCUGCCCAGGGUUGUCUGAAAAACACUUCACUUUCCUAAUACUCCAACUCAAUGUGCUCAGGGAGGCAUAUGCCACACCCUGCGUUGCUCUUGUUAUUGCAGUAUUUUUGUUCUUCCUCUGGUUCACCUAUAAACUAUUUUUCCAAUCUCCAAUCAUGUUUGAUGCUUUAGCCAUUUUGUUUCAGCUCUUAGAUAGUAGAAAAACGUGUUAUUCAUUAUUUCUAGUAGCACAAGUCCUGGCACGAAAUACCUUUCCCGCCAUAAUAUCAGUACCAAUACGUCACAGGGUAGGUCCUAACUCCAGGAAACGCCUUACUAGUGCAUUGUCCUAACUCCAGGAAACGCCUUACUGGUGCAUUGUUCCACGUGAAAAGGGUCACUGCUUGGAGAGCUAAAUGGGGUCAACAUCAGAAAAGCGCAAUAAUUCAGUCUUUGGAAUGUUUCCUUUUUUUGUGCAAUUUGUUGAUGGAAACUACUUAUGUAGAACAGGAGGUGACUGGGCAGCGGACAGCUGGGUAAUAUUGCCCUUAAUAAUGCCUAUGGUCCUUUAAUAAUUUUGGUACCAACCCAAGUGCUUGAAGUGGUUGGAAUACCAUAACCUAUGCAGACACGUGAGAGCCAUUUACACGGAACCAGUGAUCUUGAUCGAUCCAGAUCAUUCUAGAACGGUUUGCUGCGUUUAACCUCUUAACUCCCAAAACUUGAAAAUCACGGGAUCCCAGGGUGGUCACGUGGUUGCAAAAUUGGGUCCGAAUUUCACGAUGUGUAGUGCCCGCAUACAACCGCCCAAGUCCGGUAACGAGGCACCAUCUACCUAGGCAUGCUCUUACUGACCCUACUGUACAUCAAACACGCUAAAACCAGCAAUAAAAUAGCGUCCCAGCUCAAGGGAAUAAAAAUAUCACUGAGACAGACCUGUCGGUCGUUGGGAAAAAACGUUAUUUCAAAAUGACCGACUGGUCGGUCACCGGGAUUCAAGAGGUUGACUGCACACCAUUGUCCAUUGGUCAUUCGGCAAGAAACACAAUGUUUAAGUUUUGAAUAUAAAGUUAAAAUAAAAGAUUGAGGUGUGUCGUGUCAUCAAGCCAUGUGUGUAUUCAUUUACGCGACACUCGUUAAUCAUCUUCUGUAGGAGUAAUCUGGGAAAGUUUUGAAAAAUGGCGUCCAUAAAGCACAUUUACAUUCUUCGCUCGUGCCUCAUCUCAACUAGAGCCCUUUGACGAGAGAUAAUGGCUUUUUCUUGCAUUUAUCUGAAAAACUUUACUUUCCUGAGAAAUGUGACAAUGCCCAAGUUGUGGGGUAAUUACACAUUUCUUCAAGUCCCAAGAUAACUGGUGGUUCUGCGACUGUUCUCAUAUGAGUUAAACGAAGAAUCUUGUCUUAAAUCGGCUUUUAUUCUCCAAGAUCGAGCUUGUACAUCUUCACAAAUCCGUGUUGUCCCCGAAUAAAUUCCGGGACAGCCGUGAGACAGUCCGAAGACAGUCACAAUCUACUACAUUUAAAUUACAUGUACCCUUUUAUCCAAUAACAUUCAUUGAGUUAAGUUGAAAUCAGCGUGACAGUGAACUGAAUGGCUGCAAGAAUUUCCAGUAAGUACUUGUACCGGUAAUAUUUUUAUCUGACAACAACCGUUUUUGGGCCUUUUGGAGCUUAUUUGACCUUAUUAUAUGAGAGUAGUAGACAGAUCAAGUUGUUUGUAAUGACUGACAUAAUUUUAAAAGCCCUUGUCCUGCAAUUGCCACCGUGAUAAUGUAUCUCAAAUGCCCCAGCCACAUAUGCACAAAUGAUAAUCAUGUUGGGCAAAAUUAAAUGUGUUGUGAAUAUUGAAAGUUCAAGUGUGAACACAUUAUGUAAAAGUGUGGAAUUACACAGCGAGAACUGUAUAAUCCCAGUGAAUGAUUUUUAUACAUUGAAGUCAUGAAUUGAGUGUGAAUUUUAUCCUGAUACUCAAAGGCAGAAAGGGAAUUGAAGAUAGUGACAAAAAAUGGUAUUUUUUCCUAAUGUUAAGUUGGGAUCGUGGGAUUAUUGAUUUCUGCCCGUUUCUAGUAUUGUGAGGAUGUAUUUGGUCAUUUGUUUUGAUGCAUGAAUGAUGUAACCCGGAUCGCAAUUAUUGAAAAAUGUGUUUAGAAACUUCAUUUGUAGUUGAGUGUUUAAAUCUGUUACUUCUAAUGCUUUUAAAGUCUUGAAUAAGGGUUUGGUGUGGGCAAU